RNAcentral lists this long non-coding RNA (793 nucleotides) under Triticum aestivum (bread wheat). RNAcentral's name for it is "long non-coding RNA (TAES_LNC004476)". Lineage: Eukaryota; Viridiplantae; Streptophyta; Magnoliopsida; Poales; Poaceae. The record is from RNAcentral.
UCUACACGCAACAUUUGACAGAACACGGAACUAUGCUUCAGAACUACUUUACCGAGGAUGGAAACAAUUUUUUUGUCAUUGAUCUCAUGGCCAAACAUGGAACUAGAAGGUAAGCAACUGAGACAUCCGCAGGAAGAGCUUUCAAGCAUCAAGCAGUCUGCCACAUUUCACUGAAACCGUAGACCAAAUCAGUUUUGACUGAAAAGGAAUCAAUUUCUAACUCCCUCACACCCAGCUUGAAGAAACAAACCUGGGCAAGGAACGGCUGGAAAAGUGGAGAUAUGGGAUACCCCACUCGCAACCUCCCAAGAAGCAGCCGGAGUAUAUAACUGAACCGGAUAAACCCGAAGCGGGAAAUUGGAAGGGAGGCACAGUAGGAGGAGCAAGUCCAGAAGUAAUUAAACUUACACACACAAAAUAUCUUCAGUUCAUCACAGAAAACACAUUCAAAGUACCAUCAUAGUACACAGUACCAAACUACCAAUCUUACAAUUCUGUUGUAAUGUCAACCUCGGGGCCACUACAGAGGAGCGGGAGCUUGGCGGCAUUGAUGGAGGAGGCCACCGUGAGGAGGAGCUGGGCCUACCAUGGUGAGGAGGGCGCGAUGCUGAUGCUCGUCGGCCGCUUUGCCGGAUCUGACUCCGUGGGAGGGGGUUGGGAGGUGGGAGCACGGCGACGCCGAGCUUGAGGAGGAGCGCGGCUCCAGGAGCAGCAUGGGUCGCCUGCACGUCGUCCAUGACCACUGACGGGGGGGUGUGAGAUAAGGGGAAGUGGGGAAGGUGACCGACUGGGG